This 497-nucleotide ribosomal RNA is filed under the name uncultured bacterium. RNAcentral's name for it is "partial 16S ribosomal RNA". It matches the Rfam family "Bacterial small subunit ribosomal RNA", at positions 28 to 507 of the family's 1533-position model. The record is from RNAcentral.
GAUGAACGCUGGCGGCGUGCCUAAUACAUGCAAGUCGAGCGAACAGAUGAGGAGCUUGCUCCUCUGACGUUAGCAGCGGACGGGUGAGUAACACGUGGAUAACCUACCUAUAAGACUGGGAUAACUUCGGGAAACCGGAGCUAAUACCGGAUAAUAUAUUGAACCGCAUGGUUCAAUAGUGAAAGACGGUUUUGCUGUCACUUAUAGAUGGAUCCGCGCCGCAUUAGCUAGUUGGUAAGGUAACGGCUUACCAAGGCAACGAUGCGUAGCCGACCUGAGAGCGUGAUCGGCCACACUGGAACUGAGACACGGUCCAGACUCCUACGGGAGGCAGCAGUAGGGAAUCUUCCGCAAUGGGCGAAAGCCUGACGGAGCAACGCCGCGUGAGUGAUGAAGGUCUUCGGAUCGUAAAACUCUGUUAUUAGGGAAGAACAAAUGUGUAAGUAACUAUGCACGUCUUGACGGUACCUAAUCAGAAAGCCACGGCUAACUACGUG